Molecule: long non-coding RNA, 2431 nt
Organism: Solenopsis invicta (red fire ant)
Lineage: Eukaryota; Metazoa; Arthropoda; Insecta; Hymenoptera; Formicidae
Exons: 3
Source: RefSeq, a predicted model, not a curated record
ACGUGGCUGAAAAAUAAAAUAAAAUAAAAUAAAUUAUUUACUCUGUGCGCGUUUCCUUUUUAUAUCACAUUUAUUAUUAUAUAUCUCUUAUAUGUGUAUUAUACUUUUAGAAUAUUUCUCUCUUGGAACUCCGUUUGUAUGUAUGUGUAAUAAGUAAGGAAAUAAUGUCGAUGAAAGGGAGAGAAAGAGGAAAACGUGUUUCACUUCUGUUUCGGGCUGCUUUCGACCGUACGAUAUCAGGCAUAUGAAUCAAGGCCAAGCGUCCCGCAAUAAAAAGCCUCGCAAUGAAAACGCGAUUGGCCGAUUAGACCGCUAAGGACACGAGACUGGAUCACGGAACAUUACGAAAGGCAUGAUUGGUAAUCGCUGUCAUUUUCUUCUUUCUUUUUUAAUCGUGCACGAAUUCUGCAGUCUACGCCAUGCAUAAUCAAAGCGAAAACAAAAUUCUAGAUCUAUAAUUAUCCAUGUUGUAACUCGAUGAUUUAAUUUGUGGUCGAAUCCGGAGAGAACAAAAUCUAUUGUUUAGCAUUCUAUCUUGAAUGGAGCUCACUUUCACCGAUUUGUAAUACAAGACAAAAUUAUGUUUGGAGCUUUGAUUUGUGUGAUAUGCAAAAAUGCGAAGAGAAUCUCUCAAGAUUGUAGAAAAUUAAAAGAUUAUACUUUUCUGCUUUUUUUCUUAACGAAGAUGCAUCUGGAAAGAACAAUUUUGUUGCAUUAUCCAAAAAUUUAGAUAGAUAGAGAUCUGAAGAUAAUUUUGAUCAUUAAAAUAAUUACGAAAGACGAAUAAUACGAAUAAUUAUGAAAGAUCAUUAAAAUAAUUAUGAAUAAUUAUGAAUUAUGAAAUAAAUAUUUAUUCAACUAUAACGAACAAUACUGCAAAACAUUUUAACAUUCCAACAAUUAGUUUGACCGUCCUACGUAAUUACUUUGACGAUUUAACAAAAUUGUUUUUGAAUCUGUACCCAGCUAAAUUUUGGGACAUUUUAGCAAAAUUGUUCCUUUCGUGCAUGAUUUCGUUGAGUGCACGAUUCAUUAAGGCAAAUAACGUAUCAAUAAUCGUUCACGGUUGCAACGCCGCUCUGUUAUUAUAAGCAGCGAAAAGAAUAAUUACAUCUUUCUCUCGUGUUACGAGUCAUUGCACGUCAUUUAAUUCAAAGUAAUAAACUUCGCGCUUCACAGGAAGGUGCAUUUCACUCACUUUCAUUAGGGAUAGAAAGGGAGAAAUGAACAAAUAUCUAACAAUAGCGUCGAAAAUAUUAGCAUAGCCACCGGUAGCACUUUCUUCCGAAAUGCGAAAACGCCCGAUGAAAGUUUUCCUUGUUGAGAAUUGUGACAAUUAGACACUAGCAGUUACCGUAAAAGAAUCCCUGAAAUUCUCCGUCUGCAUUUGGACAACGGGAAGAAGAAUCGGUCGACAGGCAAGACCUUUCACAGACGUAUAUCGCAUAAUUUACGGAAAAACGUGUCGACAUUGCGGCGGUUUUGUGUGGUACUCCACGUUCAAUGGAGCGAAGAAUCGCACGUAAUGUUGUACGGUCGAUGUGGUAAGAGGGUAAUUGUACGUGUAGCCGCCGCGUGGAUUGUCAUCUUUGACUCGCGAAUAACUACCUUUGCCGACUUUCUAUUGUCACUCAAUACAAUUAAAUCCCUUAGAUCCUUAUUAUUCGACAAGGCCGAGGCAGGCCGCGUUGCGUGACGAAAACAGUUCAUAGCUCAUCUUGAAGCAUAGUGAUGAGACACCUGCGACACUGUGCACGUACACGCACCAAACCGAUUACUCUAAUCUUCUUUCAGGAAACAAAUAGAAUUUGAGAAAAUUCAGAGGACUCGCGAGAUUUAACAAAUCAAAAGAGAGGGCUAAUGCGAGUCAAAUGCGGUUGCUAAUGCGUAUAAAAAAUUCGUGUUUACUAAUCUUCCAUUUAAAAGCUUUAGAACGUUUCGACCCGAGUUUGGGUCAUCCUCAGCGAUAAUUUACGAUAAUCACGGCUUACAAUAAUCGAGGCUGAUUAUUGUAAAUUAUCGCUGAGGACGAUCCAAAGUCGGGUCGAAACGUUCGAAAGCUUUUAAAUGGAAGAUUAAUAAACAUGAAUUUUUUAUACGAACUAACAACAGCGUUCGACUCGCAUUAGCCCUCUCUCUUGAUUUGUUAAACAGAAUUUGCUGAUGCGUGCCAAAUUAUAAUGACGGCCUGAAGAGAUUGCGUUAGAACCAGAUUCACAUGCAAGAAAACUUGAUGUGUCGCUUUAUGAUUCUUUAAUCAUCAGAGCUGGGCAAAGCGUAUUUCAAAUACAAAAUACAAAAAUAUCGGAAGACUCACCGUUGGAGAAUCCCAGGCAUCGCCGCAGAUACCGCAUUUCCCUUUGUUCCGUUGCCACUGCCUGGUGAAGCCGCCGCAAUAGCACUCGUGGUCGUUGUAAUCGUGAGGUGUGUC